UACCAGCACCCCGAGUGGUCGGGACGAUUAUUGGGCCUAAAGCAUCCGUAGCCGGCCUUACAAGUCCUCCGUUAAAUCCAGCUGCUUAACAGAUGGGCUGCGGAGGAUACUAUAAGACUAGGAGGCAGGAGAGGCAAGCGGUACUCAGUGGGUCGGGGUAAAAUCCGUUGAUCCAUUGAAGACCACCAGUGGCGAAGGCGGCUUGCCAGAAUGCGCUCGACGGUGAGGGAUGAAAGCUGGGGGAGCAAACCGG
This 253-nucleotide ribosomal RNA is filed under the name uncultured bacterium. Its description in RNAcentral is "partial 16S ribosomal RNA". It matches the Rfam family "Archaeal small subunit ribosomal RNA", at positions 474 to 727 of the family's 1478-position model. The record is from RNAcentral.